CCUACGGGAGGCAGCAGUGGGGGAUAUUGCACAAUGGGGGAAACCCUGAUGCAGCGACGCCGCGUGGGGGAAGACGGUCCUCUGGAUUGUAAACCACUGUCACCAGGGACGAAGAUGACGGUACCGGGGGAGGAAGCUCCGGCUAACUACGUGCCAGCAGCCGCGGGAAUACGUAGGGAGCGAGCGUUGUCCGGAAUUACGGGGUGUAAAGGGAGCGUAGGCGGGGAGGCAAGUUGGGUGUCACAACUACCGGCUCAACUGGUAGUCGCACUCAAAACUGCAGCUCUUGAGGGAAGUAGAGGCAGGCGGCAUUCCUAGUGUAGCGGUGACAUUCGUAGAUAUUAGGAG
This 348-nucleotide ribosomal RNA is filed under the name uncultured bacterium. RNAcentral's name for it is "partial 16S ribosomal RNA". It matches the Rfam family "Bacterial small subunit ribosomal RNA", at positions 338 to 703 of the family's 1533-position model. The record is from RNAcentral.